Molecule: ribosomal RNA, 253 nt
Filed under: uncultured bacterium
Lineage: Bacteria
Description: partial 16S ribosomal RNA
Rfam family: Bacterial small subunit ribosomal RNA
Source: RNAcentral
UACGAAGGGUGCACGCGUUACUCGGAAUUACUGGGCGUAAAGCGUGCGUAGGUGGUUUGUUAAGUCUGAUGUGAAAGCCCUGGGCUCAACCUGGGAACUGCAUUGGAAACUGGCUUACUAGAGUGCGGUAGAGGGGUGUGGAAUUCCCGGUGUAGCAGUGAAAUGCGUAGAUAUCGGGAGGAACAUCUGUGGCGAAGGCGACACCCUGGACCAGCACUGACACUGAGGCACGAAAGCGUGGGGAGCAAACAGG